UUAUUUAUCUGUUAGAGGAAAUGCUAUGAUGAAGAAAGUGGUUUCUUUAAGGUGAAUCUCUGCCUUUUUAAUUUCAAUUGAGUUUAUCCCUCAGAUUUCUUUAAAUGUGAGAAACUCAAAUCCAUAGUUUUUGAUAGUGGGAGACUGCACUGAGCUGUUUCCAG
Protopterus annectens (West African lungfish) is the source of this 164-nucleotide small nuclear RNA. RefSeq annotates it as U1 spliceosomal RNA. NCBI's taxonomy places the organism in Eukaryota, Metazoa, Chordata, Ceratodontiformes, Protopteridae. The record is from RefSeq and is a predicted model, not a curated record. The transcript has a single exon.